ACUGUUUCCACUGUAAACGAUAACUUCAUUUCAAAAACAGGGUUCCCUAGAUGUGUGAAGGAGGGCGCUCACAGCGUUGUUCAAUACUGAGCCAUUUGCUGACCAUCACAGCUAGGAAAUCGCUUCCUUAGUGCCAAGGGAAUUGCUAGAAAGCAUGCAGAAUGGCUUUGACAUCCUCCAGCAAGGGGCAGUUUUUUCCCUUUCUCUGCUAUUGUUACGUUCUUUGUUGCGAAGUGUUUGGAGUAGCAGUGGCAUUAAUAACACCAAAAGCAGGAUUUCUAAAAUUAGCGUCCCCGGACCGGUUUGCCGUCUGUCUCCCAUGCCACGCUCAGCUCUGCCAAAGCGGCGUGGCAGUUUGUUUCAGCGUGGCCGCCCUUUGGGCAUUUGCAGGAAUACUGCAGCAAAUCAUCCUGCAUGCAAGGCUGACCUCUGGGAGGCUAACAAAUUGAGAUCAAGACAGCAGUUUCAACAAAUAUUAAAAUUGAUGGCUCCUAGUCACCCUGAAAGUCAGUUUGAAUCUCUUCCUAUUCCAGCCACCACUGACUUGGAAUUAAACUAAAUUGAAAUCUUUUCCAUCCAUAAGCACAACUGGUCUUUGCCUUCACCAUGUCAAGGAGUGUUAAUGAUGUGCUCCCCUUCUGUUGCAUUCCCCACCUGUCAUCU
This 663-nucleotide long non-coding RNA is filed under the name Phasianus colchicus (ring-necked pheasant). RNAcentral describes it as "lncRNA (ENSPCLG00000004117.1)". Lineage: Eukaryota; Metazoa; Chordata; Aves; Galliformes; Phasianidae. The record is from RNAcentral.